Molecule: ribosomal RNA, 671 nt
Filed under: uncultured bacterium
Lineage: Bacteria
Description: bacterial SSU rRNA
Rfam family: Bacterial small subunit ribosomal RNA
Source: RNAcentral
CUAGCUGUUGGGGCCGUUAGGCCUUAGUAGCGCAGCUAACGCGUGAAGUUGACCGCCUGGGGAGUACGGUCGCAAGAUUAAAACUCAAAGGAAUUGACGGGGACCCGCACAAGCGGUGGAUGAUGUGGAUUAAUUCGAUGCAACGCGAAAAACCUUACCUACCCUUGACAUGUCUGGAAUGCCGAAGAGAUUUGGCAGUGCUCGCAAGAGAACCGGAACACAGGUGCUGCAUGGCUGUCGUCAGCUCGUGUCGUGAGAUGUUGGGUUAAGUCCCGCAACGAGCGCAACCCUUGUCAUUAGUUGCUACGCAAGAGCACUCUAAUGAGACUGCCGGUGACAAACCGGAGGAAGGUGGGGAUGACGUCAAGUCCUCAUGGCCCUUAUGGGUAGGGCUUCACACGUCAUACAAUGGUCGGGACAGAGGGUCGCCAACCCGCGAGGGGGAGCCAAUCUCAGAAACCCGAUCGUAGUCCGGAUCGCAGUCUGCAACUCGACUGCGUGAAGUCGGAAUCGCUAGUAAUCGCGGAUCAGAAUGUCGCGGUGAAUACGUUCCCGGGUCUUGUACACACCACCCGUCACACCAUGGGAGUGGGUUUCACCAGAAGUAGGUAGCCUAACCGUAAGGAGGGCGCUUACCACGGUGGGAUUCACGACUGGGGUGAAGUCGUAAA